AUGGAGCUCCAGCCCUCCUUCCUGAUGCUCCCGACCCACUCCAGCCCCUGCCCGGGUCUCUGGCGCACCCAGUGCAUGGUGAUGCCGCCAACAUCGAACCCAGAUGCGCGGCACAGCAACGUCAGGGACCCCCCGGCGGCCGUGACCCUGCUGGAGUGCGGGGGGGACCUCCAGCCCCCCGGGGGGUCCCUGCGCCUCCUCUGCCGAGGGGCCGGGUUCGAUUUUGGAGGUUCCACCCUGUAUUGGAUCCGCCAGAGACCCGGGCAGGCACUGGAGUGGCUUGCAGGGUUCAGCAGCAGCGCCUACUACGCACCAUCAGUGCAGGGCCGGUUCACGAUCUCAAAGGACAACGGGCAGAGCUCGGUGACGCUGACCAUGAACAACCUCAAGGACGAGGAUUCCGCCGUUUAUUUCUGUGCCAAAGCAGCCGGUGCUCAUGGCAAUAAUGUUGCUGUUCAUGGCUGUGCCUUCAACCCAGCAAACAGCCCCAAUCCACCCAUUAAUUAA
Melospiza melodia melodia is the source of this 507-nucleotide non-coding RNA. NCBI's taxonomy places the organism in Eukaryota, Metazoa, Chordata, Aves, Passeriformes, Passerellidae. The record is from the annotation of a RefSeq genome assembly.